CGGGGCGUAGCGCAGCCUGGUAGCGCACUGCAAUGGGGUUGCAGUGGUCGGAGGUUCAAAUCCUCUCGCCCCGACCA
This 77-nucleotide transfer RNA is filed under the name Gammaproteobacteria bacterium. RNAcentral describes it as "tRNA-Pro". It matches the Rfam family "tRNA". Rfam says of the family: Transfer RNA (tRNA) molecules are approximately 80 nucleotides in length. Their secondary structure includes four short double-helical elements and three loops (D, anti-codon, and T loops). Lineage: Bacteria; Pseudomonadati; Pseudomonadota; Gammaproteobacteria. The record is from RNAcentral. RNAcentral also lists the same sequence under 4 other names.